Molecule: ribosomal RNA, 253 nt
Filed under: uncultured bacterium
Lineage: Bacteria
Description: partial 16S ribosomal RNA
Rfam family: Bacterial small subunit ribosomal RNA
Source: RNAcentral
UACGGAGGGAGCUAGCGUUGUUCGGAAUUACUGGGCGUAAAGCGCGCGUAGGCGGCUUUGUAAGUUAGAGGGGAAAGCCCGGGGCUCAACCCCGGAAUUGCCUUUAAGACUGCAUCGCUUGAAUCCGGGAGAGGUGAGUGGAAUUCCGAGUGUAGAGGUGAAAUUCGUAGAUAUUCGGAAGAACACCAGUGGCGAAGGCGGCUCACUGGACCGGCAUUGACGCUGAGGUGCGAAAGCGUGGGGAGCAAACAGG